UCUCCGUAGGUGAACCUGCGGAGGGAUCAUUACCGAGUGAGGGUUCCGGCCCGACCUCCAACCCUUUGUGAAUUCGACCCAGUUGCCUCGGGGGCGACCCUGCCGCUUCGGCGGUGCGGCGCCCCCGGAGGCCAUUAAACACUGCAUCAUUGCGUCGGAGUUAAAGUAAAUUAAACAAAACUUUCAACAACGGAUCUCUUGGUUCCAGCAUCGAUGAAGAACGCAGC
Molecule: unclassified non-coding RNA, 227 nt
Filed under: uncultured fungus
Lineage: Eukaryota; Fungi
Description: sequence contains ITS1, 5.8S rRNA gene
Rfam family: 5.8S ribosomal RNA (bases 179-227)
Source: RNAcentral